AUUGAACGCUGGCGGCAUGCCUUACACAUGCAAGUCGAACGGCAGCACGGGAGCAAUCCUGGUGGCGAGUGGCGAACGGGUGAGUAAAGUAUCGGAACGUGCCCAGUCGUGGGGGAUAACGUAGCGAAAGUUACGCUAAUACCGCAUACGCUCUAUGGUUGAAAGCGGGGGAUCGCAAGACCUCGCGCGAUUGGAGCGGCCGAUAUCAGCUUAGGUAGUUGGUGGGGUAAAGGCUCACCAAGCCGACGAUCUGUAGAUGGUCUGAGAGGACGACCAGCCGAACAGGGACUGGGACCCGGCCCAGACGCCUUCGGGAGACAGCAGUGGGGAAUUUUGGACAAUGGGAGAAAGCCUGACCCAGCCAUGCCGCGUGCAGGAUGAAGGCCUUCGGGUUGUAAACUGCUUUUGUACGGAACGAAAAGGUUUGGCCUAAUAAGCUGAGCUUAUGACGGUACCGUAAGAAUAAGCACCGGCUAACUACGUGCCAGCAGCCGCCGUAA
This 500-nucleotide ribosomal RNA is filed under the name uncultured bacterium. RNAcentral's name for it is "partial 16S ribosomal RNA". It matches the Rfam family "Bacterial small subunit ribosomal RNA", at positions 30 to 523 of the family's 1533-position model. The record is from RNAcentral.